UUUAGUUAUCUCGUCUCUGUAUAAGCCAAACCAUUUUCAACAAGAUUUAACAAAAUACUAGUCACCCAGUAUUGAGAAAACUGUUCAAUUCAUUUGAUAACCAACAACAUACAUUAAUAUCACAAACGACAAUGAGAAAGCCUCGAUAAGCUUAACUGCAAAAAAAAAAAAAACAGAUUUGCCCCUGAUAAAAAGUAAAUCAAGCCCAGAUUAUUUGAGAAUGUUUUAACAAAAAGUAUGGUUUUAUUUCGUGACCAUCAAGCGGGUCUUGCCAAAGUACUGAAAACGACAACAAUUAACCCUCCAACGCAGAUGCUCCAGAAAUAAUCUCAAUGAGUUCAGUUGUGAUGGAUGCUUGACGGGUCCUGGACCUGUUGUAUGUAAGAGUGAGACGAUCAAGCAUGUCACCAGCAUUUCUGCUGGAGCUGUCCAUAGCAGACAUCCGAGCUCCUUGUUCACUGCAUGCAUUC
Molecule: long non-coding RNA, 470 nt
Filed under: Helianthus annuus (common sunflower)
Lineage: Eukaryota; Viridiplantae; Streptophyta; Magnoliopsida; Asterales; Asteraceae
Description: sRNA HanXRQr2_Chr12g0548621
Source: RNAcentral